Molecule: ribosomal RNA, 432 nt
Filed under: uncultured bacterium
Lineage: Bacteria
Description: bacterial SSU rRNA
Rfam family: Bacterial small subunit ribosomal RNA
Source: RNAcentral
CCUACGGGGGGCAGCAGUGGGGAAUAUUGCGCAAUGGACGAAAGUCUGACGCAGCGACGCCGCGUGAGGGAUGAAGGUUUUCGGAUCGUAAACCUCUGUCAGGAGGGAAGAAAGCGCAUGGCGCCAAUCAGCCAUGCGUUGACGGUACCUCCAAAGGAAGCGCCGGCUAACUCCGUGCCAGCAGCCGCGGUAAUACGGAGGGCGCGAGCGUUAAUCGGAAUUACUGGGCGUAAAGCGCGCGUAGGCUGUUGUGUAAGUUGGGGGUGAAAUCCCACGGCUCAACCGUGGAACAGCCCUUGAUACUGCGCGACUUGAAUCCGGGAGAGGGUGGCGGAAUUCCAGGUGUAGGAGUGAAAUCCGUAGAUAUCUGGAGGAACAUCAGUGGCGAAGGCGGCCACCUGGACCGGUAUUGACGCUGAGGCGCGAAAGCGU